Molecule: long non-coding RNA, 652 nt
Organism: Sinocyclocheilus anshuiensis
Lineage: Eukaryota; Metazoa; Chordata; Actinopteri; Cypriniformes; Cyprinidae
Exons: 4
Source: RefSeq, a predicted model, not a curated record
GGACUCUGUCCUCUUUGACAUGGAAAUCUUCUCUGGUUCAUUUCCUCUGUUGAGUCCAUCAAGAGAUAGAGAUCCUGUUUGUUCCCCUUUCAAAGCAUCUAUCCUUUUAGCUGGUCAACUACAGUGGGACAAAUGAAGGGCAUCCAGUGGUCUGGCAGAGCUUUGAUCAGCUCUGUUUCUUCCAGGAACAAUAUUGCUAUCUUGCUGUGGAUUCCUCAUAUUGAGUCUGUACUUCAACCCAUCCAACCAGAGAUUGACUCUUGAUGUUGAAUCGUGAUAUGUCAAAGAGUAUUGAUUCAGACACAUACAGCAAUUCCCCCUCCGCACUUCAAUCGCUGCCCGGGGGGCAAAAACAGAAGGAGACUCGUGAAGUAUAUCUUGACCUACUGCCAUCCCUUCACAAGGUUUCUGCUUAACCCUAAGGUCAUGCCCCUCCACUCCACAACACAAUAUUUAUGUUUAUCCAGCACAAACCCACGAGAGACUCUCCUCAACACAUAUCUGCGUGUGUUACUUCAUUUGAAGUUAGAAUGGCAGUACAAAUCUCUAAGCAUGAGGAAAAACCAGAUGAGUUGUGUACAAAUACAUCCUUGACCCCUGACCUUGAGAUGGCGUCUCUCAUAAUGAACUCCUCAUGUCUUUUGAUAUUCAA